AACUUUUGUAUCUUAUAAAUUAUUUGAAAAAAAUUUUAUGACAUAAACAUGUUAGAUAUAAUUUUUAUUUUUCACAAUAAGUAUUAUUUUCUGGUGAUGAAAUAAAGUAGUUUCUUCACAUAAAGAAAAUGGUAUGGUCUUACGUCCUUCAGCUGCAUGUCAGUGUUGUUGUCUAGACAUCAGGUGAAUUUUGGGUAAGUUUGGCAGAAUCUUGUUUAGAGACGAAGAAAGGAUAGCAGAUGCUGUCAAUCCUGACCUCCGUGCAUUCCAACGAGCAUAUCUUGAGCUAUAGAGGUCCAAUUGACGUGGUCUCAACGGCGUUAGAAAGCUGACUUCCAGAAUGACUGCCAAAACUAGCGUUAAACACCAAGUCUGGGUGUUUAACACCCAAGAAGGACUGACUUCUCAAGUUGAACGCCCAAAACUGGCGUUCAACGCUAGCCAGGGAGCAGGACCAGUGAAGUUCAACACCCAGAACCCAAGUUGAAUGCCAGUCUUCAGCCCGAAUCACUCCUAGUAGGCCCCAAAGUGGAUUUUAGCACUCCUUAGUUUAUUUUGUUUUCUUUUUAUAAAUUUUAAUUAAAAAUAAUAUCUUUUAAGUUUGGUUUUAGAGGUUUUUACUAUAAACAAGAGACCUCCUUCCUCCUAAGGAUCACGCCUCCCAGGAGGGGAGACAAAUCUAGAAAGAUUUUCUUAUUAUUUUGUUUUCUCUGUAAAGCAUGGGUCACUAAACCUCCUAGUUAAGGUUAGGAGCUCUGCUUAUUUCUAUGGAUUAAUAUUAUUACUUUUCUAUUCUAAUA
This is a long non-coding RNA of Arachis stenosperma, 800 nucleotides long. RefSeq lists it as uncharacterized. The record is from RefSeq and is a predicted model, not a curated record. The transcript has 2 exons. Lineage: Eukaryota; Viridiplantae; Streptophyta; Magnoliopsida; Fabales; Fabaceae.